Long non-coding RNA from Phyllopteryx taeniolatus (common seadragon), 351 nucleotides. RefSeq lists it as uncharacterized. The record is from RefSeq and is a predicted model, not a curated record. NCBI's taxonomy places the organism in Eukaryota, Metazoa, Chordata, Actinopteri, Syngnathiformes, Syngnathidae. The transcript is spliced from 3 exons.
GUGUAUGUGCCAUCGCAGCUGAUAAAAAGGGAGGCUCCCGGAUGGUGUUGGUGUAUAAAAAGAGCCUCAAAAACUGGUAACCACAGUCAUCCUGGUGUUAAAUCCAAGAGUCUCAGACACUCUUUUUGAGACGUUUCCUUGGUUUUCUUUCCUCAAACUCCAACAGGAUGAAAGUGGAUCUACUUCCCCUUACCUUAUGCCUCCUCUGUACAGUCAUGCUGUGCAGAGGGGAGUCCACGACUACAACCUCGCAACCUACUACAACCUCGGCUACACCUCCUACAGCCACGACACCUAAGCCAGGCUCAACGACACCUAAACCAGGAUCAACGACACCUGAGCCAGGAUCAA